AACGAACGCUGGCGGCAUGCCUAACACAUGCAAGUCGAACGAAGGCUUCGGCCUUAGUGGCACACGGGUGCGUAACGCGUGGGAAUCUGCCCCUUGGUUCGGGAUAACAGUUGGAAACGACUGCUAAUACCGGAUGAUAUCGCGAGAUCAAAGAUUUAUCGCCAGGGGAUGAGCCCGCGUCGGAUUAGCUAGUUGGUGGGGUAAAGGCCUACCAAGGCGACGAUCCGUAGCUGGUCUGAGAGGAUGAUCAGCCACACUGGGACUGAGACACGGCCCAGACUCCUACGGGAGGCAGCAGUGGGGAUAUUGGACAAUGGGCGAAAGCCUGAUCCAGCAAUGCCGCGUGAGUGAUGAAGGCCUUAGGGUUGUAAAGCUCUUUUACCCGGGAUGAUAAUGACAGUACCGGGAGAAUAAGCCCCGGCUAACUCCGUGCCAGCCGCCGCUGUAA
RNAcentral lists this ribosomal RNA (448 nucleotides) under uncultured bacterium. Its description in RNAcentral is "partial 16S ribosomal RNA". It matches the Rfam family "Bacterial small subunit ribosomal RNA", at positions 29 to 523 of the family's 1533-position model. The record is from RNAcentral.